This 229-nucleotide unclassified non-coding RNA is filed under the name Hevea brasiliensis (rubber tree). Lineage: Eukaryota; Viridiplantae; Streptophyta; Magnoliopsida; Malpighiales; Euphorbiaceae. The record is from RNAcentral.
AAAGAAAUGCCACGUUUAAUAUUGUCGGACAAGUCAAAGUUUGACUGAAGUGGAACAAGGGAAUUACAAUUCAUUAAUUAGGUUAUUAAUAAAGAAAAAUGUGUACAGAAGAAAACGCAGGGUGACAGCGUGUGGUUACCGUCUAGCAGAUCAUUCCCGGACUUUUAUCUGAUAAUAAUUGAUCACUAAAAAAUAUGUGGCGAAAUCUUAUUGGUUAAUCUGUAGGUAG